This 450-nucleotide ribosomal RNA is filed under the name uncultured bacterium. Its description in RNAcentral is "partial 16S ribosomal RNA". It matches the Rfam family "Bacterial small subunit ribosomal RNA", at positions 354 to 796 of the family's 1533-position model. The record is from RNAcentral.
GUGGGGAAUAUUGGACAAUGGGCGCAAGCCUGAUCCAGCCAUACCGCGUGGGUGAAGAAGGCCUUCGGGUUGUAAAGCCCUUUUGUUGGGAAAGAAAUCCUGUCGGUUAAUACCUGGCGGGGAUGACGGUACCCAAAGAAUAAGCACCGGCUAACUUCGUGCCAGCAGCCGCGGUAAUACGAAGGGUGCAAGCGUUACUCGGAAUUACUGGGCGUAAAGCGUGCGUAGGUGGUGGUUUAAGUCCGUUGUGAAAGGCCUGGGCUCAACCUGGGAAUUGCAGUGGAUACUGGAUCACUAGAGUGUGGUAGAGGGAUGCGGAAUUUCUGGUGUAGCAGUGAAAUGCGUAGAGAUCAGAAGGAACAUCCGUGGCGAAGGCGGCAUCCUGGGCCAACACUGACACUGAGGCACGAAAGCGUGGGGAGCAAACAGGAUUAGAUACCCCAGUAGUCC